GGCCACUCUGCCCACAGCACAUGACACCUUCCGGUUGGAGUUACCCACGAUAUAAUCCAGCCUGCACGCUGGAGCAGACUGCUGAAGUUGAGGAUGGAUGUCAGAGAAUGCUGAAUUCCCAGAGGUCUAAACUGAAAGAUGACUUUCUUCAACAGCUGGAAGGAAGGUUUGGGAGGCCUUAUUUGGGACUGAUAGAAGAGGUAAGCAGCUGAGAAGCCAGGAGGCCAGUGAUGAGGUUUCCAUCAUCCAAAAGGGAAAGAAUAGAACCUGGUGGUGGCCUGGAGAUGUGUGAGUAAGAAAAAAUCUGAAGCUGCCUGGGAGCUGCCUGGCAGAAGCCAAUGACAGAUUGGAAGGGGGAGGAGAAAAGGUCAUGGUGGAGUCAAGGAUGACUGGAGUUCCCUGCCUGAGGAAAGAACUGAUGGCUGUGUUUUAGUUGCCAAGACAACAAGCCCAAAUGGCAGCCAGAGAGGUGACAGAGUCUCUCUCUGGGAUUCUCCCACUCUUGGUUAUGCAGCGCAGAACUGAUCUUCCACUUAAAGAACAAUGUGCUAUUCUGCUAUGUGAGGUGUGUUUAUCACCUGAAAAGACUCACCUCCAGUUGUACCAGAAUGCUGUAGGUUGCAAUCAUGCUUCAGAAACACAUAUUUUUCAGCAUUGUUAAUGGAAACAAACAUCUGAAACACCUAAUCCAAACCCAUUCGUAGGAAAGAGAAAUAAAAACAUUCCAACCCUUAG
RNAcentral lists this long non-coding RNA (735 nucleotides) under Equus asinus (donkey). RNAcentral describes it as "lncRNA (ENSEASG00005028220.1)". Lineage: Eukaryota; Metazoa; Chordata; Mammalia; Perissodactyla; Equidae. The record is from RNAcentral.